GUGCCAGCCGCCGCGGUAAGACGAAGGGGGCUAGCGUUGUUCGGAAUUACUGGGCGUAAAGGGCGCGCAGGCGGCUUUGCAAGUCAGGCGUUAAAGACCCAGGCUCAACCUGGGGAAUGCGCUUGAUACUGCAGAGCUUGAGAUCGGAAGAGGAGAGUGGAAUUCCCAGUGUAGAGGUGAAAUUCGUAGAUAUUGGGAAGAACACCAGUGGCGAAGGCGGCUCUCUGGUCCGAUUCUGACGCUGAGGCGCGAAAGCGUGGGGAGCAAACAGGAUUAGAUACCCUCGUAGUCC
RNAcentral lists this ribosomal RNA (292 nucleotides) under uncultured bacterium. RNAcentral describes it as "partial 16S ribosomal RNA". It matches the Rfam family "Bacterial small subunit ribosomal RNA", at positions 505 to 796 of the family's 1533-position model. The record is from RNAcentral.